Pungitius pungitius (ninespine stickleback) is the source of this 895-nucleotide long non-coding RNA. RefSeq lists it as uncharacterized. Lineage: Eukaryota; Metazoa; Chordata; Actinopteri; Perciformes; Gasterosteidae. The transcript is spliced from 4 exons. The record is from RefSeq and is a predicted model, not a curated record.
GCGAACGAGCUCUUUGAUUUUUCAACUGCUGGAGGAAAUAGACUUGGUAGGAAUCUUGUUGGAGAAGUAAACUACUGUCUGUGGCAACAGAAGAGCUUGAAAGAGGUUGAGAGUCAAGGAGGAGCACCUGCUGAGCGGAGUGGCUGUGAGUUGGACGAUAACUGUGCAGCGCCAGUCAUCCCUGCCAACCCGCUACUGCCACCUGCUGGCGAAUUUGAGUGUUGCCCUGCAGCUGCUCCAGGGGAAAUUUCUGGCAGUCGUUGCAAGGAGUGAUGUCCUGGGCCUUACAAGCACUACGGACGGCCAUGGAGACUGGGUUGAGUGUCUCAAAAUACUGGCGGCAGGCGGUUUGAAGCCCACUUCAAAGUUUGAAGACACGAGGAAAUCCACCACUGAUCAUGUGAACAUAAUCAGAUACAAAAAACGAGCAGAGGGCCAGUCUUCCUGUGGCUUUCGCUGGUGCACUAAGUGUUCACCGCAGUGGAAAAUAACACGGGGGAGGAGACACAAGAGGUGUUGUUGCCCACAUGUGCACAAAUACCCGGCCAGGCCAGCCACCCCUUUUUGUAAUUUUCAUUUACACUUUGACUUUGUCAGUUUAAAAUGGAGUCAAAAAAAGUUUGAAAGGCCGCGUAUCCAAACAAAUACAGACUUCAACAAGUGUGGAGAGCAAGCUUGGAUACUUUGUUUUUACCUGUAGCUGUCUAUGUGACAAUGAAAUGAAAUGUCCUAAAAACAAGAUGCAAUGUAGUGCAAUUAAAAAGAAAUUAGCUAAUAAAUCAUCAAGUACAAGCAUACUAGUCUCUGAAAGGACAAUAAUCGAAAGAUCUGAUCUGUUGACAAUUGAAGGGACGUAAUGAACUUCAAACUAAUAAAUAAACAUUUAAGCAGUGGU